Molecule: ribosomal RNA, 275 nt
Filed under: uncultured bacterium
Lineage: Bacteria
Description: partial 16S ribosomal RNA
Rfam family: Bacterial small subunit ribosomal RNA
Source: RNAcentral
CCUACGGGCGGCUGCAGUAGGGAAUAUUGGGCAAUGGAGGCAACUCUGACCCAGCCAUGCCGCGUGCAGGAAGACGGUCCUCUGGAUUGUAAACUGCUUUUGAAUGGGAAGAAUGUGCGGCUUGCGAGCUGUAAUGACGGUACCAUUAGAAUAAGCCACGGCUAACUACGUGCCAGCAGCCGCGGUAAUACGUAGGUGGCGAGCGUUAUCCGGAUUUAUUGGGUUUAAAGGGUGCGUAGGCGGCUUAAUAAGUCGGUGGUUAAAAGUAGCAGCUU